UGGGGAAUAUUGCACAAUGGGCGCAAGCCUGAUGCAGCCAUGCCGCGUGUAUGAAGAAGGCCUUCGGGUUGUAAAGUACUUUCAGCGGGGAGGAAGGGAGUAAAGUUAAUACCUUUGCUCAUUGACGUUACCCGCAGAAGAAGCACCGGCUAACUCCGUGCCAGCAGCCGCGGUAAUACGGAGGGUGCAAGCGUUAAUCGGAAUUACUGGGCGUAAAGCGCACGCAGGCGGUUUGUUAAGUCAGAUGUGAAAUCCCCGGGCUCAACCUAGGAACUGCAUCUGAUACUGGUCAGCUAGAGUCUUGUAGAGGGGGGUAGAAUUCCAUGUGUAGCGGUGAAAUGCGUAGAGAUGUGGAGGAAUACCGGUGGCGAAGGCGGCCCCCUGGACAAAGACUGACGCUCAGGUGCGAAAGCGUGGGGAGCAAACAGG
Molecule: ribosomal RNA, 429 nt
Filed under: Chloroflexota bacterium
Lineage: Bacteria; Bacillati; Chloroflexota
Description: Chloroflexi bacterium partial 16S ribosomal RNA
Rfam family: Bacterial small subunit ribosomal RNA
Source: RNAcentral